RNAcentral lists this ribosomal RNA (253 nucleotides) under uncultured bacterium. RNAcentral's name for it is "partial 16S ribosomal RNA". It matches the Rfam family "Bacterial small subunit ribosomal RNA", at positions 524 to 776 of the family's 1533-position model. The record is from RNAcentral.
GACGAACCGUACGAACGUUAUUCGGAAUCACUGGGCUUAAAGGGUGCGUAGGCGGCGCGACAAGUUGGGUGUGAAAUCCCUCGGCUCAACCGAGGAACUGCGCCCAAAACUGUCGUGCUCGAGGGAGACAGAGGUGAGCGGAACUUAGGGUGGAGCGGUGAAAUGCGCUGAUAUCCUAAGGAACACCGGUGGCGAAAGCGGCUCACUGGGUCUCUUCUGACGCUGAGGCACGAAAGCUAGGGUAGCGAACGGG